This 332-nucleotide ribosomal RNA is filed under the name uncultured bacterium. Its description in RNAcentral is "bacterial SSU rRNA". It matches the Rfam family "Bacterial small subunit ribosomal RNA", at positions 568 to 898 of the family's 1533-position model. The record is from RNAcentral.
CGCGUAGGCGGGAUGGCAAGUCGGUCGUGAAAUCCUUCGGCUCAACCGAAGAACGUCGGCCGAUACUGCCGUUCUUGAGGGAUGCAGAGGAGACUGGAAUUCCCGGUGUAACGGUGAAAUGUGUAGAGAUCGGGAGGAACACCGGUGGCGAAGGCGGGUCUCUGGGCAUCUCCUGACGCUGAGGCGCGAAAGCGUGGGGAGCAAACGGGAUUAGAUACCCCGGUAGUCCACGCCAUAAACGAUGACGACUAGGUGUGGGGUGGUUCAGUCCACUCCGUGCCGCAGCUAACGCAUUAAGUCGUCCGCCUGGGGAGUACGGCCGCAAGGUUGAA